AGCACGGUGCUUGGCACAUAGCAAGCACUUAAUAAAUGCUUGCUGACUGACUGAUGUGGGACUCAGGGCAUUCAGAUGAUGGU
Molecule: microRNA precursor, 83 nt
Filed under: Notamacropus eugenii (tammar wallaby)
Lineage: Eukaryota; Metazoa; Chordata; Mammalia; Diprotodontia; Macropodidae
Description: miRNA (ENSMEUG00000017711.1)
Source: RNAcentral